Molecule: transfer RNA, 65 nt
Filed under: Eudohrnia metallica
Lineage: Eukaryota; Metazoa; Arthropoda; Insecta; Dermaptera; Forficulidae
Description: tRNA-Trp
Source: RNAcentral
AUGGCUUUAAGUUAGGGAAACUUUCAACCUUCAAAGUUGAAUACGCAAUUGAUUUGCAAGCCUUA